RNAcentral lists this ribosomal RNA (346 nucleotides) under uncultured bacterium. RNAcentral's name for it is "bacterial SSU rRNA". It matches the Rfam family "Bacterial small subunit ribosomal RNA", at positions 32 to 359 of the family's 1533-position model. The record is from RNAcentral.
AAUCAACGCUGGCGGCGUGCCUAACACAUGCAAGUCGAACGCGAAAGCCCCUUCGGGGGCAAGUAGAGUGGCGUCCGGGUGAGUAACACGUGGGUAAUCUACCUCCGGGUGGGGAAUAACUCGCCGAAAGGCGGGCUAAUACCGCAUAAUGCAGCGGCACCGAAUGGUGAUUAGUUGUUAAAGCGGGGGACCUUAGGGCCUCGCGUCUGGAGAGGAGCCUGCGGCAGAUUAGCUUGUUGGUAGGGAAUGGCCUACCAAGGCUGCGAUCUGUAGCUGGUCUGAGAGGACGGCCAGCCACACUGGCACUGACACACGGGCCAGACUCCUACGGGAGGCAGCAGUGGGG